This 538-nucleotide ribosomal RNA is filed under the name Enterobacter sp. FLP19. RNAcentral's name for it is "bacterial SSU rRNA". It matches the Rfam family "Bacterial small subunit ribosomal RNA", at positions 862 to 1400 of the family's 1533-position model. The record is from RNAcentral. Lineage: Bacteria; Pseudomonadati; Pseudomonadota; Gammaproteobacteria; Enterobacterales; Enterobacteriaceae.
AAGUCGACCGCCUGGGGAGUACGGCCGCAAGGUUAAAACUCAAAUGAAUUGACGGGGGCCCGCACAAGCGGUGGAGCAUGUGGUUUAAUUCGAUGCAACGCGAAGAACCUUACCUACUCUUGACAUCCAGAGAACUUUCCAGAGAUGGAUUGGUGCCUUCGGGAACUCUGAGACAGGUGCUGCAUGGCUGUCGUCAGCUCGUGUUGUGAAAUGUUGGGUUAAGUCCCGCAACGAGCGCAACCCUUAUCCUUUGUUGCCAGCGGUUAGGCCGGGAACUCAAAGGAGACUGCCAGUGAUAAACUGGAGGAAGGUGGGGAUGACGUCAAGUCAUCAUGGCCCUUACGAGUAGGGCUACACACGUGCUACAAUGGCGCAUACAAAGAGAAGCGACCUCGCGAGAGCAAGCGGACCUCAUAAAGUGCGUCGUAGUCCGGAUUGGAGUCUGCAACUCGACUCCAUGAAGUCGGAAUCGCUAGUAAUCGUAGAUCAGAAUGCUACGGUGAAUACGUUCCCGGGCCUUGUACACACCGCCCGUCAC